GCCCCUCAGCUACCUAAUUAUAAUCCUCCUCAGGUGUGAACACCUUGUGUUGUGACAUAGAGCCACGUGGACAUGUGGUGAUUCCGUGAUGCUCUUUAGGUGUUUGGGAAUGCUCAUAGGAUGGUCCCUUUCAGGUGGGGGAAGAGUUCAUGCUCUCCAGGUUACUGUGGUGGGUGGCAGGCUGUUGUGUUGAGCUCUCAGAGAAGGAUGAGAAGGCGUACGAGCUAACAUCUAUCGUCUCUCCGAAAUAUGCUGAUGUGACAGCUUCUUGGACUGAAAAUGCACGCUUCUGGUAGAAUUCUUCUGACAGGAAAAGCAAGCAGUUCUGUCACUUAAAACCAGCACAAAACAAAACCCCCUCUGAAUAUUGAUUUGUGAUGUUAAUUUGUUUUAUGAAGAAAGUAGGUGGGUUAUUGUGCAGAAAUGCUGAAUGGACUGUAUGCUGCUGUUUGCAACCAAGAACAAAAAAAAAAAAAACUGGCUUAGUUUAGCCUCUGAAAGCCAGAACAACCCUUAGAAAAUCCACAUUGCAAAUAUUUGCUGUUUGGAGGACUGCUGAAACAAAAUAUUCAAGAGAACUAGGAAAUUGCUAAGUACCCACUAAGAAAAAAUACUGGUGGAGCCUUAAUAAUGGAACAGCACUGUCCUAAUUUGUACCUCACAGUGGCCUUUAUCCAGGCAGUCAGGACUGUUCUAACAGGAAUUACUUAAUCCUUUUUGGUGCCUCUCUUGGCAGAACACUUCUUCAGGUAGUUCAAGCCCAGAUGCUCUCAUUCAGGCAUUGUCCAGUGAAUUGGUUUUGUGCACCCAAAUGAAAGUAACUUGCUCUUCUGGAGCUUCAGUGUGGUUCUAUGUUUUAAGUGUAUCUAUUCAUGCAGUCUCGUUGUGAUGAGUCUGUUUUCAGGAUGAUGUGCCUUAC
This 919-nucleotide long non-coding RNA is filed under the name Cyanistes caeruleus (blue tit). RNAcentral describes it as "lncRNA (ENSCCEG00000000971.1)". Lineage: Eukaryota; Metazoa; Chordata; Aves; Passeriformes; Paridae. The record is from RNAcentral.